CAGUCGCCGCGGUAAUACGGGGGGAGCUAGCGUUGUUCGGAACUACUGGGCGUAAAGCGCACGUAGGCGGCUAUUCAAGUCAGGGGUGAAAGCCCGGGGCUCAACCCCGGAACUGCCUUUGAAACUAGAUAGCUUGAAUCUUGGAGAGGCGAGUGGAAUUCCGAGUGUAGAGAUGAAAUUCGUAGAUAUUCGGAAGAACACCAGUGGCGAAGGCGACUCGCUGGACAAGUAUUGACACUGAGAGACGAAAGCUAGGGGAGCAAAUGGGAUUAGAUACCCCAGUAGUCCCUGUCUCUUAUAA
Molecule: ribosomal RNA, 301 nt
Filed under: uncultured bacterium
Lineage: Bacteria
Description: partial 16S ribosomal RNA
Rfam family: Bacterial small subunit ribosomal RNA
Source: RNAcentral